UACAGAGGUCUCAAGCGUUGUUCGGAUUCAUUGGGCGUAAAGGGAGCGUAGGUGGCGGGGUUAGUCAGGUGUGAAAUCUCGGGGCUCAACUCCGAAACUGCACUUGAUACUGCCUUGCUAGAGUACUGGAGAGGAGAUUGGAAUUUACGGUGUAGCAGUGAAAUGCGUAGAUAUCGUAAGGAAGACCAGUGGCGAAGGCGGGUCUCUGGACAGUUCCUGACGCUGAGGCACGAAGGUCAGGGGAGCAAACGGG
This 253-nucleotide ribosomal RNA is filed under the name uncultured bacterium. RNAcentral's name for it is "partial 16S ribosomal RNA". It matches the Rfam family "Bacterial small subunit ribosomal RNA", at positions 524 to 776 of the family's 1533-position model. The record is from RNAcentral.